AUUGAACGCUGGCGGCAGGCCUAACACAUGCAAGUCGAGCGGAUGAAGGGAGCUUGCUCCUGGAUUCAGCGGCGGACGGGUGAGUAAUGCCUAGGAAUCUGCCUGGUAGUGGGGGAUAACGUCCGGAAACGGGCGCUAAUACCGCAUACGUCCUGAGGGAGAAAGUGGGGGAUCUUCGGACCUCACGCUAUCAGAUGAGCCUAGGUCGGAUUAGCUAGUUGGUGGGGUAAAGGCCUACCAAGGCGACGAUCCGUAACUGGUCUGAGAGGAUGAUCAGUCACACUGGAACUGAGACACGGUCCAGACUCCUACGGGAGGCAGCAGUGGGGUAUAUUGGACAAUGGGCGAAAGCCUGAUCCAGCCAUGCCGCGUGUGUGAAGAAGGUCUUCGGAUUGUAAAGCACUUUAAGUUGGGAGGAAGGGCAGUAAGUUAAUACCUUGCUGUUUUGACGUUACCAACAGAAUAAGCACCGGCUAACUUCGUG
This 484-nucleotide ribosomal RNA is filed under the name uncultured bacterium. RNAcentral's name for it is "partial 16S ribosomal RNA". It matches the Rfam family "Bacterial small subunit ribosomal RNA", at positions 30 to 507 of the family's 1533-position model. The record is from RNAcentral.